CAGCCCUAAACGAUGCGCGUUAGGUGUAUCGGUGACCACGAGUCACCGAGGUGCCGAAGGGAAACCGUGAAACGUGCCGCCUGGGAAGUACGGUCGCAAGGCUGAAACUUAAAGGAAUUGGCGGGGAGCACCACAACGGGUGGAGCCUGCGGGUUUAAUUUGGACUCAACGCCGGGAAGCUCACCGGAUAAGACAGCGGAAUGAUUGCCGGGCUGAAGACCCUGCAUGACCAGCUGAGAGGAGGUGCAUGGCGUAGUCGUGU
RNAcentral lists this ribosomal RNA (262 nucleotides) under uncultured archaeon. RNAcentral describes it as "partial 16S ribosomal RNA". It matches the Rfam family "Archaeal small subunit ribosomal RNA", at positions 748 to 1009 of the family's 1478-position model. The record is from RNAcentral.